UACGUAGGGGGCAAGCGUUGUCCGGAUUUAUUGGGCGUAAAGAGCGUGUAGGCGGCCAGUUAGGUCCGUUGUGAAAACUCGAGGCUCAACCUCGAGACGCCGAUGGAAACCAACUGGCUAGAGUCCGGAAGAGGAGAGUGGAAUUCCUGGUGUAGCGGUGAAAUGCGCAGAUAUCAGGAAGAACACCCGUGGCUAAGGCGGCUCUCUAGUACGGUACUGACGCUGAGACGCGAAAGCGUGGGGAGCGAACGGG
Molecule: ribosomal RNA, 253 nt
Filed under: uncultured bacterium
Lineage: Bacteria
Description: partial 16S ribosomal RNA
Rfam family: Bacterial small subunit ribosomal RNA
Source: RNAcentral